This 518-nucleotide ribosomal RNA is filed under the name uncultured bacterium. RNAcentral's name for it is "bacterial SSU rRNA". It matches the Rfam family "Bacterial small subunit ribosomal RNA", at positions 10 to 518 of the family's 1533-position model. The record is from RNAcentral.
AGUUUGAUCAUGGCUCAGGAUGAACGCUAGCGACAGGCUUAACACAUGCAAGUCGAGGGGCAUCACGGGAGUAGCAAUACAACUGGUGGCGACCGGCGCACGGGUGAGUAACGCGUAUGCAACCUACCUAUCAGAGGGGAAUAACCCGGCGAAAGUCGGACUAAUACCGCAUAAAACAGGGGCACCGCAUGGUGAUAUUUGUUAAAGAAAUUCGCUGAUAGAUGGGCAUGCGUUCCAUUAGGUAGUUGGUGAGGUAACGGCUCACCAAGCCGACGAUGGAUAGGGGAACUGAGAGGUUGGUCCCCCACACUGGUACUGAGACACGGACCAGACUCCUACGGGAGGCAGCAGUGAGGAAUAUUGGUCAAUGGGCGGGAGCCUGAACCAGCCAAGUCGCGUGAAGGAAAGAAGGAUCUAUGGUUCGUAAACUUCUUUUGCAGGGGAAUAAAGUGCAGGACGUGUCCUGUUUUGUAUGUACCCUGAGAAUAAGGAUCGGCUAACUCCGUGCCAGCAGCAGC